AAAAGGAAGGACUACGUGACCUGAUAUG
Molecule: small RNA, 28 nt
Filed under: Bombyx mori (domestic silkworm)
Lineage: Eukaryota; Metazoa; Arthropoda; Insecta; Lepidoptera; Bombycidae
Description: ovarian small RNA-9877
Source: RNAcentral